GGAGAGGUGGCUGAGUGGUUGAAAGCACCGGUUUCGAAAACCGGCAUACCGCAAGGUAUCGGGAGUUCGAAUCUCCCCCUCUCCG
This 85-nucleotide transfer RNA is filed under the name Candidatus Kaiserbacteria bacterium RIFCSPHIGHO2_01_FULL_55_17. RNAcentral's name for it is "tRNA-Ser". It matches the Rfam family "tRNA". From Rfam's summary of the family: Transfer RNA (tRNA) molecules are approximately 80 nucleotides in length. Their secondary structure includes four short double-helical elements and three loops (D, anti-codon, and T loops). Lineage: Bacteria; Candidatus Kaiseribacteriota. The record is from RNAcentral.